UGCCUAUGUAGCAAAAUUGGCAUUGAUACUGCCCUUUUUAUUUGCACUGAUUUAAACUUAUGUUUCCAAAUGGUAGUGUCAAAGAAGCAUCUUAUAAUGGGGGNNNNNNAGGAAACAUCACGUUUAAAGGAUUUCUUGAAGACAGUGCUGUCUUCACUACAAGGCUCUUUUUGGCAGAGCUACCUCUGGGCAAUCAACCUCUCCACCUUACAUAUUCUGUGAAAUCAGAUGGGGAC
This 236-nucleotide unclassified non-coding RNA is filed under the name Hevea brasiliensis (rubber tree). The record is from RNAcentral. Lineage: Eukaryota; Viridiplantae; Streptophyta; Magnoliopsida; Malpighiales; Euphorbiaceae.